ACUAGGCCUGCACGAUAUAUCGUUUGACUAUCGUCAUCGCGAUGUACGUGUGUGCGAUAGUCACAUCGCAGAGCCUGCGAUAUUGGAGGUGAAUGAACUCAUUUAAUUUCAAGGGUAACUGACUGAGAUACACUGCAUGUGACUCUGCAUGUGCUUUGCAGCGAUCCACCAAUCACAUUCGUCCUUAACUCAGUUGCCAAUCAGACCCAGUUCUCAGUUGCCAAUCAGAC
Xyrichtys novacula (pearly razorfish) is the source of this 230-nucleotide non-coding RNA. Lineage: Eukaryota; Metazoa; Chordata; Actinopteri; Labriformes; Labridae. The record is from the annotation of a GenBank genome assembly.